This 2305-nucleotide long non-coding RNA is filed under the name Lotus japonicus. RNAcentral's name for it is "long non-coding RNA (LJAP_LNC001163)". The record is from RNAcentral. Lineage: Eukaryota; Viridiplantae; Streptophyta; Magnoliopsida; Fabales; Fabaceae.
CGAUCCAAACUUCAACCUCUAUAUAAAGGGAGCAGGGGAAAGCUUGGAAAACCCAUUCCCCCACUCUGAUCUAUCUGAGCCCCUCUCUUCCUCUUCUUCCUCUUCACGCUCUCCCUCUCGUUCUCCUAACUCUCUCUUUCUCUCCCUCUCGUGUUUCACCACCCUCACCUUUGUCCCUCACGAAUUUCUCAACCAAACCAUGAAAUAACAUGGGCAAAACACUUUUGGACCCUCAUAUAACUAGAUCUUGGCAAAGAAACCACAAGAAAUCAAUCAAAGAACGCAGAACCGUGAAGUUGUCCAAACUCCGGCGAGAAUACCCGACGUGCAACUGAGAUUUUCUCUCAGUUCCUUGCAUUAUAGCCUACGAGACCUGCACUGUUGGACUCCUGGAAGCGAGAAGAAGUUGGCCCAACGCUCAGAUCCGGUAACCGCCGUGAUCGCCACCGUCUUCGGUCCUCUUCUCCUACGAGUCUCGCCGGAAAAGUUCCAAAACUCGGUAAAACUUGUAUAUUCCGACUCUAUUCUUCGUUCUGAGUUCAAAUAUCAUUUUUGUUACAUGAAAUUCAAAGUAUUUCACUAAAAAUCUCUCUUUUCCAUGCGUUUUCUUCAUGAUCAAGAGGUUAUGAGUUAUCCUUUUUGCUUCUAGGAACUCACAGAUCAUGAAGGAAACAUUUUUCAGAAAUUUCAUGGAACAAACAGGUUGAAAUUUGAAACAGAGGAAUGAACUUCAUGUUCAUCAACCUCUCGGCCUCUUCUUCUCAACGAGGAAGAAGAAGAAACUUGAGCCUCAGGCUUUGAGCGUCUUGUAACUCUGUGACCAUCAUGAAAGGUGUUGAGUAAUUCUUUGAAUUGGUAGCUUGAGGAACAAGGUUAAUUAAUAAAAUUAAUUAAGCAUAAAAAAUUGUAAAUCUUGACCUUAAAUAGCUUGAUUUGGAAACUUGGAGUGCAAGAGAAGCUUGGACAGGUGUGGAUAUUAAUUAUGGACCAUGUUGAGACCAAAUAGCUUGGACUAACCAUGAGGAUUAAUGCUCAUGAGACUUGAGACUUGGACUACUAAAAGAUCAAUUAAGACUAAAUUAACUAAAACUUGGAUAAUAACUAUAAAUGAUUUAUGUUUGAUUGUGAUUUGGAAUUAUUGCAGAUCAGGACAAUCAAUAUUUGACAUUUCUCUCAAGCAUAGGUAAGGGGGAUACAAGUUGCGAGGCCAUGGAUGAAUAGUAAAGUCUUUCUGACAGGAGGAUUGCUUCUAAUCAUAUUUGUUAGAUUGUUUGGCUAUUGGAUUGUUGUUUGGUAAUGGGGGUAAAUUCAUAUGUAUGCAUCAUUUUGCAUAUAGAUGGACCUGCCCUUGGUAUUGACCUAAUCGCUACUGUGGGAGAGGUCAUUCAAGACGCCUAUGAAGAGCUCUUACAUGCAUUUGUAUUACAACUUGAAUCAAGUUGUCGGAUAUUGAGGGCGGUGGCACUAGCUCAUUGGUUGGGCAUUAUGAUGUGCAUGAUAUUCAAUUACCUGAAUUUUAUAGCUCUUAUGAAUUGUUAGAGUGUUGUGAACUUGAUACUGAUAAAAGAUACAAACAGAAAUCCAGAAAUUAGAUAUGUUAUUAAUCACCUGAAUACGCAAAUGAAAUACUACUUAGCCAGAAAUGAGAGGGAAAAUAGCAAAGUUGAAGAUGUCAUAUGCAAGAUGGGGUAUGAGAUUCCCGAAGAGGGUAAAUUGUUGAUUUAUGACUCGAAGCCAUUAACAAUGAAAUUUAAAAGCAAGUUUAGAGAUGAUUUCAUGGAGCUAGGGGUGAAGUCUGUGCAGUACAUAUUCCAUCUACCACAAAAAAUCUUAUAUUUGCUAGUUUAGACCCUAAGGACACUCUUUAAUUUGUUUCAUUCCCGGGUGUUUGUUUCUACUUUCUUUGUUCAUAAUCAUUCCCCUAGAUGUGACAAUCACACUACACGCACUACAAAAUGUAUAUUUCUUAGGUACUCUUGCAUUUUGCAGGGACACCGAGUAUUCGGUGACCGGGAGUUGGUCAUUUUGCAUACAGAUGGACCUGCCCUUGGUAUUGACCUAAUCGCUACUGUGGGAGAGGUCAUUCAAGACGCCUAUGAAGAGCUCUUACAUGCAUUUGUAUUACAACUUGAAUCAAGUUGUCGGAUAUUGAGGGCGGAGGCACUAGCUCAUUGGUUGGGCAUUAUGACAUGCGUGAUAUUCAAUUACCUGAAUGUUAUAACUUUUAUGAAUUUUUAGAGUGUUGUGAAUUUGAUACCGAUAAGAGAUACGAAUAGAAAUCCAUAAAUUGGAUAUGUUAUUAAUC